Molecule: long non-coding RNA, 717 nt
Organism: Neopsephotus bourkii (Bourke's parrot)
Lineage: Eukaryota; Metazoa; Chordata; Aves; Psittaciformes; Psittacidae
Exons: 3
Source: RefSeq, a predicted model, not a curated record
CUGAUGCACUUCCAGCUUUGCAACCACUACCUCCCCAAGCUUUAUGAAGAGCAGUUCCUCUUUUUGUGGGAUGAUUAUGGAUUCCUCAAUCCAGGGGAUGCUAUAGCUGCCAUUAAGGGGAUGAACAUCCUUAUGAAGACUUUAACACCUUUGGUGAGUCUGCCUCAGCACAAGAGGACUUUUAUUACUGCAUUGUAGUAGCAGGCUUGAUUCACCUUUCUUCAGGAGGCCUGAUGAAAACCACAGCAACUUACCUUGAGUGCUCUGCACCAUGCCCCUGUCCACCUGGCCACAUCUGGCACUCAUAGCCCAGAGAUAACUGGUGUGGGCACAAGGAGAUGCAGCCCCGGCUGGUGUGUCAGCACCCUCUGCAGGGUUUGGCAGACUGUAGAGGGGUGCAAUAAGUAGCUGAUUUCACUUCAGGAAAGAGCAGAAUUUUACAUUAAAAACGUGCACAGGAGGUGCAAGACAAGAGUGCAGUGGGACAUAGCAGGGCGUCAACGUCCACAUCCAUGAAGGACAAAACGGCUCCAGCUCCCUCGAGGUGAGGUUCUCUGGCACAGAGUGGCCUCUGUGGCCAUACUGCAGCUAACCAGGCUGUCCCUGCCUCACAGACACACUGAGUACUUGUUCACCAAGAGAGGCAUUUACUGUGUGUCAUCCCGGCCCAGCCCCUCUCCCCUGCUUGCAGGAGGAGCUGGUGCCUGCAGUCCUGAC